Molecule: long non-coding RNA, 1072 nt
Organism: Orbicella faveolata
Lineage: Eukaryota; Metazoa; Cnidaria; Anthozoa; Scleractinia; Merulinidae
Source: RefSeq, a predicted model, not a curated record
AGAAGUCUUUCAAAACUAAUAUACUUGUUGGGAAUGAGCUCCCUUUUAUUCCCACGUUAAGAGUUGUGCAGGGAGAACAUUUUUCAAUUAAAAAAGCUGAAAAUAUGAUAUAUUUCAUGUUAAUAUUAAAUUAAAAUAUUGCUGAUAUUAUAAUACAAGAAAAUUACCUAGUUUGGCACAAUUUGAAAAGUUCAGUUGAGUUACUGAUUUUGAAAUGUCCCUGUUUCCUCUUGAAGUUUAUUAUUAUUUAUUGCAUUUUUGAAUCUAUAGCAUUUCUCAGUGUAUUUAUUGCUAUUGUAAUUUUGAGAUAUUAAUAUAUUAACAUAUUUUUUGCGGUAGUUUUAUUUGCCGUUAACAAUCAUUUGGAAUUAUAGAUAUUGUUUCAUGCUUCAUCAACUGUGUUUCUGUUAUUGUUGAUAGCUAGUUCGUUUGAUUAAUCACCGUACCCAAAUUCGGAAUAAGCCAAUCAGAAGCCGUUUCUACUGCCCUGGUAUCUUGCGAUAUCAUGGUCAUCUGGGCCGAGUUGGGUUACGAUAAAUUCUUUAUCGUACCGUUUUUAGUACUGUUCAGCGGUAUAUCAGGUUCAUUUGGUCUCGUAAUGGGUAUUUUGGAUCGACCUUGUUUCGCCAUGGCUCAACCAAACUCGCCUGAUAAUACCUCCGAAGCGUACCAAAAGGAAGCUCAUCGAAAGCUUCCUAUAUAUGACGACGAAAGAGUGACGAAAGACAACAUCAGAAUGGAAAAUUCAAUAAAAGGUCCCCAAUAUUAUUUUCUGAGAACAUCCUCAAUCCCAGGCUCUCGACUUUGCGUCGGGAGGAUAAGAAGAGAGAGCCUGGGAUAGAGUUGUUGUGGAAUGGCAAGUGAGCCUGCAAGCUUCCAUGCGAGAGUCCGGGAAUCGGGCUAGCAAAAAAUCGCUAGCAAAUGAUCGAUCGCUGUGCUUUCGUUCGUCGAGUCGUGUAGGAAAGAGCUAUGGAUACACACUUUGACAAUGCCUGCCCUUCUUCGGCUUCAUCAGAAGACAGUAAAGCAGAUUCGGGGGAGAGUCUAAGAACAUCAAAUGUACAGGUACAGG